RNAcentral lists this long non-coding RNA (1665 nucleotides) under Anser cygnoides (Swan goose). RNAcentral describes it as "lncRNA (ENSACDG00005006351.1)". Lineage: Eukaryota; Metazoa; Chordata; Aves; Anseriformes; Anatidae. The record is from RNAcentral.
GGGUGAAACGAAGUUGUGUGGUGAUAAUCUUAUUCCACAGGAGAUUUUUCAGAUCUGAAAACCGAUUAUUUGAACCUCAAAUAGCACUUUUAAAAAUAAUUUGCCCAAAAUUAUUGGCCAAAAUAUGUGUGUCCAGAAAAACUGGUGUGAACUCAACUUUACUGUGCUAGUCAGCCCUUAUGUUAGCAUCCUGUUAAGGCCAGGCCCUNNNNNNNNNNNNNNNNNNNNUGAAAAGUGGCUGCACUAAAAAACUCUUCCACUGAUGUGAUGAACUUCUCCCGAUGUGGUGAACCUUCCUCUCCUUCACUGAAGAGCAUGACACCUAACUGGACUGCGAGGAAGCAGGGAUGGAGGGGUGCUCGCAGUAUCCAGCAGCAUGCUGCAGGCAGGCAGGCCUGGAAGGAGCACAUCGCUUCUGCGGCUGGUGCACACUGAGAGGCCUACGGUUGUCUGGCAGGAGCCAGGGAAGCAAGGUCCGUGCUUCAAAUACUGUUUCAGAGAGAAAUGAGUCGGAAGUAAGCUUGCUUAUGUGCAGCAAGCAAAAAAUGCAGUUUUUAUGCUGAGCUAUGAGGAAAGACUGUCAGGGAGGAAGAAGUCAGCAGGUAUUCUGCAGAGAAAGGAAAAGGAUGCAGAUCCAGUGAAGAAAAGGGAACAGAGGACCAUCAACAAACAGAAACACACAAGAAGGAGAACUCCUGUGGGGCAAGGCCAGAGGGUGCAUCUGCUGAAGGACGAGGACCUAUUGAGGGGGGCCAGCAUCGAGACCCUGAGACCUCGUUGCCGUAGGUGGUUCUGCAUGGCUCCUGCGCUGAGUGAUGCUGGCCGGAGAGGCCACGUCCACGGAGCACCACGUCCUGCGGGACCUCACGGUGGACGAGCGCAGGCUGCAAACAUCUGCGCUUGGUGCUGUAGCCGUGUUGCAAUGCUUCCUCUUGGCGCCCAGGGUUUAAGGCGACAGCCAGCACCAGCGCAGCCAAACUGUGGAAAAGGAGAUGGAUCACCCAUGCGAGAGGCCUCCUGCGAGCCACUGCCAAGGACCGUGCAGCUCAGCCCUCGUGCCGCUGGCGCAGUUAUUUAUUUACCUGCGCUCAGGUCAUGCCCGGGCUGUCACCACGGCCCCCUGAGCCCCUCAGUACGGCCAAGGCCUCAACGGCGACCCCCAUCAGGCCCCAGACCCUCCCUGGAGGCAAAAGGAGGCGGAGGGCAGGGACCAGAGCGGAGCCUGGGGGCUUGAGGCCCUCGGGGGCCGCACCAUGGCCGCUCUCCCCGGGGGCCGUGGAUGCGGGUGGGAGCGGCGGCGGCCGGCAGGUGGCCCCCGUGGCCGCCCUCCCCUCACCCAGGGGGGCUGGGGGGGGCUGCAUUUCCCUGCCUUCCCCUGCCCUGCCGGCCGUGGGCGCCACGGCUCCCCUCUUGGGAGGUGCGGAGGCCGGGGGAGGGCACCCUCCCUCCAUCCAUCCCUCCCUCCUUCUCCAUCUCCCUGCCUGCCGCGGCGGCGGCGAGGGGGAAGGAGGGCGGGCAGCCCCCGCCCGGCUCCCUCCUUCUCCUCCCUCCUUCCCUCCCUCCCUGCCUGCCAGCCUCGGGGCUGGCUUCCUCCCCGGGAAAUGCCCCUCCCGGCCGAUCUCUGAACAUCCCCCCCCCACCUUUUCCCUCCGCCCUCGCACGGCA